GUACCUACGGGGCGCAGUAGGGAAUAUUGCGCAAUGGGGGAAACCCUGACGCAGCAACGCCGCGUGCGGGAUGACGGCCUUCGGGUUGUAAACCGCUUUCAGCAGGGAAGAACAUCGACGGUACCUGCAGAAGAAGCCCCGGCUAACUACGUGCCAGCAGCCGCGGUAAUACGUAGGGGGCGAGCGUUAUCCGGAUUCAUUGGGCGUAAAGCGCGCGUAGGCGGGUGCCUAAGCGGGACCUCUAACCUCGGGGCUCAACCCCGAGCCGGGUCCCGAACUGGGCGUCUCCAGUGCGGUAGGGGUGG
Molecule: ribosomal RNA, 305 nt
Filed under: uncultured bacterium
Lineage: Bacteria
Description: bacterial SSU rRNA
Rfam family: Bacterial small subunit ribosomal RNA
Source: RNAcentral